GGCGAGUGAAGCGGCAAAAGCUCAAAUUUGAAAUCUGGUACCUUCGGUGCCCGAGUUGUAAUUUGGAGAGGGCAACUUUGGGGCCGUUCCUUGUCUAUGUUCCUUGGAACAGGACGUCAUAGAGGGUGAGAAUCCCGUGUGGCGAGGAGUGCGGUUCUUUGUAAAGUGCCUUCGAAGAGUCGAGUUGUUUGGGAAUGCAGCUCUAAGUGGGUGGUAAAUUCCAUCUAAAGCUAAAUAUUGGCGAGAGACCGAUAGCGAACAAGUACAGUGAUGGAAAGAUGAAAAGAACUUUGAAAAGAGAGUGAAAAAGUACGUGAAAUUGUUGAAAGGGAAGGGCAUUUGAUCAGACAUGGUGUUUUGUGCCCUCUGCUCCUUGUGGGUAGGGGAAUCUCGCAUUUCACUGGGCCAGCAUCAGUUUUGGUGGCAGGAUAAAUCCAUAGGAAUGUAGCUUGCCUCGGUAAGUAUUAUAGCCUGUGGGAAUACUGCCAGCUGGGACUGAGGACUGCGACGUAAGUCAAGGAUGCUGGCAUAAUGGUUAUAUGCCGCCCGUCUUGAAACACGGAC
Molecule: ribosomal RNA, 564 nt
Filed under: Saccharomyces cerevisiae (brewer's yeast)
Lineage: Eukaryota; Fungi; Ascomycota; Saccharomycetes; Saccharomycetales; Saccharomycetaceae
Description: partial large subunit ribosomal RNA
Rfam family: Eukaryotic large subunit ribosomal RNA
Source: RNAcentral